RNAcentral lists this long non-coding RNA (1131 nucleotides) under Arabidopsis thaliana (thale cress). RNAcentral describes it as "long non-coding RNA (ATHA_LNC000154)". The record is from RNAcentral. Lineage: Eukaryota; Viridiplantae; Streptophyta; Magnoliopsida; Brassicales; Brassicaceae.
GGAUCAUACCAGCACUAAUGCACCGGAUCCCAUCAGAACUCCGCAGUUAAGCGUGCUUGGGCGAGAGUAGUACUAGGAUGGGUGACCUCGAGGAAUGUCCUCGUGUUGCAUCCCUCUUUUUUUUUCGGUUUUUCUCUUUUUUUGUUUUGUUAAAAAUGUAUGACUUUAUAACUUUUAGACCGUGAGGCCAAACUUGGCAUGCCAUACCUUUUCGGAAAGCCCAAAGAGAGUUCUCCAAUGAAUGAGGAAGGAAAAUGGAAUUCUUCUAUUGUUUUUUUUCUACUCCAAAUUUUGAUCUUAAUGUAUUUUUUCGGGCCUUUUCUUGAUCUUUGCUAUAUUACGAGGCGAAAAAUUAUAUGUUUGGACAUUGUUUUCGAAUAUUUUGCAUGUAUCAAAGCUCUUAUAAACAAGAUAGGGUAUUCCUACAUAGCUGGUGGGACCCACGACAAAUAGAUCAUAAAGUAUUCAAAAAAGAAUAGAUACGAUUGCAAUGCAUGUAGUAACGGAUGCUAUCAUACUAGCACUAAUGCACCGGAUCCCAUCAGAACUCCGCAGUUAAGCGUGCUUGGGCGAGAGUAGUAUGAGGAUGGGUGACCUCCCGGAAAGUCCUCAUGUUGCAUCCCUCUUUUUUUCGGUUUUUCUCUAUUUUGUAUUGUUAAAGAUGUAUGACUCUAUACCUUUAAGACCGUGAGGCCAAACUUGACAUGUSAUACCAUUUCGGAAAUCCCAAAGAGAGCUCUCCGAUGAAAGAGGAAGGAAAAUGGAAUUCUUCUUUUGUUUUUUUUUCUACACCAAAUUUUGACCUUAAUGUACUUUUUCGAGCCUUUUCGUGAUCUUUGCUAUAUUACGGGGCGAAAAUUAUAUGUUCGGACAUUGUUUUCGGAUAUUUUGUAUCUAUCAAAGCUCUUAUAAACAAGAUAGGGUAUUCCUACAUAGCUAGUGGGAUCCACGACAAAUGGAUCAUAAAGUCUUCAAAAAAGAAUAGAUACGAUUGCAUUCCAUGUAGUAACAUAUGCGAUUGCAUUCCAUGUAGUAACAUAUGCGAUCAUACCAGCACUAAUGCACUGGAUCCCAUCAGAACUCCGCAGUUAAGCGUGCUUGGGCGAGAGUAGUACGAGGAUGGGUGACCUC